CAAGUUAUAAAUUCACCACAGCCAGAACCGUCUCCGGUUAAGAGACUCUCACCUCAAUUUAAUUCACCACAGGUUCAACCAUCUCCGGUUAACAUACUUCAACCUCAAGUUAAUUCACCACAGGUUCAACCAUCUCCGGUGAAAACACUACGACCACAAGUUAUAAAUUCACCACAGCCAGAACCGUCUCUGGUUAAGAGACUCUCACCUCAAGUUAAUUCACCACAAGUUCAACCAUCUCCGGCUAAAACACUACAACGACAAGUUAUAAAUUCACCACAACCAGAACCAUCUCUAGUUAACGCACUACCACCUCAGAUUAAUUUACCACAAGUUCAACCAUCUCCGGCUAACGCACUGCCACCUCAAGUUAAUUCACCGCAACCAAAACCGUCUCCGGUUAACUCACCCUCACCUCCAGUUAAUUCACCACAACCAGAACUGUUUCCGGUUAACGUACUACCACCUCAAGUUAUAAAUUCACCACAACUUCAACCAUCUCUGGUUAACGCACGACCGGUUAAUUCAGGUCAACCAUCUCCGGUUAACGCACUACCACCUCAGGUUAAUAUUUCACCUCAACCAAAACCGUUUCCGGUUAACUCACUCUCACCUCCGGUUAAUUCACCACAACCAGAACCGUCUUUGGUUAACGCACUACCACCUCAAGUUAAUUCACCACAAGUUCAACCAUCUUUGGUUAACUCACAAUCCCCUCCAUUUAAUUCUCCGCAAUUAGAACCACCUUCAGUUAAGAUACUGUC
This 764-nucleotide long non-coding RNA is filed under the name Zostera marina. RNAcentral describes it as "long non-coding RNA (ZMAR_LNC000656)". Lineage: Eukaryota; Viridiplantae; Streptophyta; Magnoliopsida; Alismatales; Zosteraceae. The record is from RNAcentral.